GAUGAACGCUGGCGGCGUGCCUAAUACAUGCGAGUCGAGCGAACGGACGAGAAGCUUGCUUCUCUGAUGUUAGCGGCGGACGGGUGAGUAACACGUGGAUAACCUACCUAUAAGACUGGGAUAACUUCGGGAAACCGGAGCUAAUACCGGAUGAUAUUUUGAACCGCAUGGUUCAAAAGUGAAAGACGGUCUUGCUGUCACUUAUAGAUGGAUCCGCGCUGCAUUAGCUAGUUGGUAAGGUAACGGCUUACCAAGGCAACGAUGCAUAGCCGACCUGAGAGGGUGAUCGGCCACACUGGAACUGAGACACGGUCCAGACUCCUACGGGAGGCAGCAGUAGGGAAUCUUCAGCAAUGGGCGAAAGCCUGACGGAGCAACGCCGCGUGAGUGAUGAAGGUCUUCGGAUCGUAAAACUCUGUUAUUAGGGAAGAACAUAUGUGUAAGUAACUGUGCACAUCUUGACGGUACCUAAUCAGAAAGCCACGGCUAACUACGUG
Molecule: ribosomal RNA, 497 nt
Filed under: uncultured bacterium
Lineage: Bacteria
Description: partial 16S ribosomal RNA
Rfam family: Bacterial small subunit ribosomal RNA
Source: RNAcentral